RNAcentral lists this long non-coding RNA (632 nucleotides) under Mus pahari (shrew mouse). Its description in RNAcentral is "lncRNA (MGP_PahariEiJ_G0005444.1)". Lineage: Eukaryota; Metazoa; Chordata; Mammalia; Rodentia; Muridae. The record is from RNAcentral.
CCUUUGGGAACAGGGACGGCACAAGAGGUGGCUCGUCUGGGUUCAAGAGAGAAAGAUAAAGCACCCACAUGAAGACCAAGUUGAACAUCUGGUGCAUAUGUGAGUGGAUGCCUAGAUACAGCCCAUAGAUGUCCUUUGGUGGGUGGUUCAGACUCUGAGAGCCCAAGGCUCCAGGUUAUGGUCCAUCAUCCAAGGAAAUCAUGUCAGAAACUCAAGGCAGAAGUUGAGGCCACGAAGAAACACAGCUUUUAUAGGACCUCCUGACUUCUUUCUUAUAUAACCUGGGACUGUUUGUCCAAUAGUGUCACCACUUACAAAGGGCUGAGUCUUCAAACAUAAGUCACUAUUUCUUAAAUCCCCAUAGCCUUGUCUACAGGCUCCAAUCUUAUGAAAGCAUUGUCUUAAUUAGCAUUCUUUUCUCCCUGACAUGUCUAGCAUUAUGUCAAGUUGACAAAAGAAAAACAAUCCCUCAGUAACUUUGCAUUUUUCCUUUACAAGUUUUUGUACAUUUGCCAUGGGGAGGAUUUAGUAAGGUCAUGACUGUAACAAGUGCCUUGUGUAUUUGAAAGUCUUCUUUUUUGAGAUUUGGGAAAUGUUCUUCUACAAUGGAAUUAAAGUCUGUAUUCUCUCUG